RNAcentral lists this transfer RNA (70 nucleotides) under Phyllodactylus unctus (San Lucan gecko). Its description in RNAcentral is "tRNA-Met". The record is from RNAcentral. Lineage: Eukaryota; Metazoa; Chordata; Lepidosauria; Squamata; Phyllodactylidae.
AGUACAGUAAGCUAAUAAAGCUUUCGGGCCCAUACCCCGACAAUGUUGGUAUCAAACCCCACCUUUACUA